GCCUUCAUGAAGCCGGAAUUGCUAGUAAUGGCAGGUCAGCAUACUGCCGUGAAUACGUUCCCGGGCCUUGUACACACCGCCCGUCACACCAUGAGAGUUGGGAAUACCCGAAGCCUGUGAGCUAACUUUUAGAGGCAGCAGUCGAAGGUAGAAUCAAUGAUUGGGGUGAAGUCGUAACAAGGUAAC
This 186-nucleotide ribosomal RNA is filed under the name uncultured bacterium. RNAcentral's name for it is "partial 16S ribosomal RNA". It matches the Rfam family "Bacterial small subunit ribosomal RNA", at positions 1314 to 1500 of the family's 1533-position model. The record is from RNAcentral.